RNAcentral lists this long non-coding RNA (256 nucleotides) under Calidris pugnax (ruff). RNAcentral's name for it is "lncRNA (ENSCPUG00000012074.1)". Lineage: Eukaryota; Metazoa; Chordata; Aves; Charadriiformes; Scolopacidae. The record is from RNAcentral.
AGAAUAGAAGACUGGGACGAAAACUACUGUCAGCAAGCUUAUUUUUGGAGCCAUUGACUGCAAAAGAACCAUAACUUAGAUGAAAUAAUCUGCUAGUGAUCUUGAUGGCAGGCAUAAUAAGCCUGGGAAGUAGCUAAUGCUUUGAAAGCUCGUGUGCCUCUCAGCUGAGAAGAUCUCAUUGGCAAGUUGAUCAUGCUUUGAACAAUGUCAAGUUCACUGUUGCCAUUUGAACCUGGAAUUGUUAAGUCUAUGCAAG